RNAcentral lists this ribosomal RNA (443 nucleotides) under uncultured Saccharofermentans sp. RNAcentral's name for it is "partial 16S ribosomal RNA". Lineage: Bacteria; Bacillati; Bacillota; Clostridia; Eubacteriales; Oscillospiraceae. The record is from RNAcentral.
GACUACUGGGGUAUCUAAUCCUGUUUGCUCCCCACGCUUUCGCGCCUCAGCGUCAGUUACUGUCCAGAUAGCCGCCUUCGCCACUGGUGUUCCUCCUAAUAUCUACGCAUUUUACCGCUACACUAGGAAUUCCACUAUCCUCUCCAGUACUCAAGACCGACAGUUUCGGAUGACCCGCCCGGGUUAAGCCCGGGAAUUAAACAUCCGACUUGUCAGCCCGCCUACACGCCCUUUACACCCAGUAAAUCCGGAUAACGCUUGCCACCUACGUAUUACCGCGGCUGCUGGCACGUAGUUAGCCGUGGCUUGUUCUUCAGGUACCGUCAUUUUUUUCGUCCCUGAUCAAAGAAGUUUACAACCCGAAAGCCUUCAUCCUUCACGCGGCGUUGCUGGGUCAGGCUUUCGCCCAUUGCCCAAUAUUCCCCACUGCAGCCGCCCGUAGG